This 468-nucleotide ribosomal RNA is filed under the name uncultured bacterium. RNAcentral's name for it is "partial 16S ribosomal RNA". It matches the Rfam family "Bacterial small subunit ribosomal RNA", at positions 28 to 507 of the family's 1533-position model. The record is from RNAcentral.
GACGAACGCUGGCGGCGUGCUUAACACAUGCAAGUCGAACGGAAAGGCCCUGCUUUUGUGGGGUGCUCGAGUGGCGAACGGGUGAGUAACACGUGAGUAACCUGCCCUUGACUUUGGGAUAACUUCAGGAAACUGGGGCUAAUACCGGAUAGGAGCUCCUGCUGCAUGGGGGGGGUUGGAAAGUUUCGGCGGUUGGGGAUGGACUCGCGGCUUAUCAGCUUGUUGGUGGGGUAGUGGCUUACCAAGGCGUUGACGGGUAGCCGGCCUGAGAGGGUGACCGGCCACAUUGGGACUGAGAUACGGCCCAGACUCAGACGGGAAGCAGCAGUGAGGAAUAUUGCACAAUGGGCGGAAGCCUGAUGCAGCAACGCCGCGUGCGGGAUGACGGCCUUCGGGUUGUAGACCGCUUUCGCCUGUGACGAAGCGUGAGUGACGGUAAUGGGUAAAGAAGCACCGGCUAACUACGUG